CCUACGGGUGGCUGCAGUGGGGAAUAUUGCACAAUGGGGGAAACCCUGAUGCAGCGACGCCGCGUGAGUGAAGAAGUAAUUCGUUAUGUAAAGCUCUAUCAGCAGGGAAGAAAAUGACGGUACCUGAGUAAGAAGCUCCGGCUAACUACGUGCCAGCAGCCGCGGUAAUACGUAGGGGGGAAGCGGUAUCCGGAUUUACUGGGUGUAAAGGGAGCGUAGACGGCAGUGCAAGUCUGGAGGGAAAGGCGGGGGCUCAACCCCCGGAGUGCCCUGGAAACUGUACGGCUGGAGUGCAGGAGAGGUAAGUGGAAUGCGUGGUGUAGCGGUGAAAUGCGUAGAUAUUAGGAAGAACACCAGUGGCGAAGGCGGCUUACUGGACUGUAACUGACGUUGAGGCUCGAAAGCGUGGGGAGCGAACAGGAUUAGAUACCCGUGUAGUC
Molecule: ribosomal RNA, 440 nt
Filed under: uncultured bacterium
Lineage: Bacteria
Description: partial 16S ribosomal RNA
Rfam family: Bacterial small subunit ribosomal RNA
Source: RNAcentral